UCUCUCUUCCCUCCAUCAACACCACCGCCAUCCAACGCCUUCGACCACUCCCACCGCCUUCUGCCCUCGUCGGAUCUACUCGACGCCGCUAUGGCCAGCCCCUCCUUCACGUAAUCACGUGUGCUGUCAGCCUUGUCAAGAUUGGAUAGAUCGUGAAACUGUCGCUAUCGGGAUUGGCUCGGCGUAGCUGCCGCCCUCUUACUGCCGGUGUGCCGUCGCUGGAGCGCCAUGCCGGAAAUCCGGGAAGCCCUCUAACCAUGUAGUUAUUUAAUUCCAUAGGCCUUUGCUUAUUACUCUCAUGUUUUUAGGCUACUUAGAGCAUAUUUAUUGAAUAUUUAUUGAACAAAUCAUAAGUUUGGUGUUCUUAAAUCUUGGUUUGGAAGUUGUAUGUAAAUUGUGUAUUACUGUUAGAAUAUUUAGGUUUUAGGCAGAUUCUCUAUUUUCUUCA
Molecule: long non-coding RNA, 448 nt
Organism: Salvia hispanica
Lineage: Eukaryota; Viridiplantae; Streptophyta; Magnoliopsida; Lamiales; Lamiaceae
Source: RefSeq, a predicted model, not a curated record